This 127-nucleotide small RNA is filed under the name Marmota monax (woodchuck). The record is from RNAcentral. Lineage: Eukaryota; Metazoa; Chordata; Mammalia; Rodentia; Sciuridae.
GCUAGGCAUGGUGGCACAUGCCUGUAAUCCCAGUAACUUUGAAGGCUGAGGCAGGAGGAUUGCCAGUUUGAGGCCAGCCUCAGUAACUUAGCGAGGCUCUCAGAAACUUAGUGAGGUCCUGUCUCAC